AUUGAACGCUGGCGGCAGGCCUAACACAUGCAAGUCGAACGAGAGGCGGGCGGGUGAGUAAUGUAUGGGGAACUGCCCGAUGGAGGGGGAUAACUACUGGAAACGGUAGCUAAUACCGCAUACCAUCAGAUGUGCCCAGAUGGGAUUAGCUAGUAGGUGGGGUAACGGCUCACCUAGGCGACGAUCCCUAGCUGGUCUGAGAGGAUGAUCAGCAGCACGGGAAGUUGGACACGGUCCAGACGCCUACGGGAGGCAGCAGUGGGGAAUAUUGCACAAUGGGCGCAAGCCUGAUGCAGCCAUGCCGAGUGUAUGAAGAAGGCCCUAGGGGUGUAAAGUACUUUCAGCGGGGAGGCGUUACCGGCAGAAGAAGCACCGGCUAACUCCGUGCCAGCAGCCGCGGUAAUUC
This 406-nucleotide ribosomal RNA is filed under the name uncultured bacterium. RNAcentral's name for it is "partial 16S ribosomal RNA". It matches the Rfam family "Bacterial small subunit ribosomal RNA", at positions 29 to 526 of the family's 1533-position model. The record is from RNAcentral.